Molecule: ribosomal RNA, 429 nt
Filed under: Chloroflexota bacterium
Lineage: Bacteria; Bacillati; Chloroflexota
Description: Chloroflexi bacterium partial 16S ribosomal RNA
Rfam family: Bacterial small subunit ribosomal RNA
Source: RNAcentral
UGGGGAAUAUUGCACAAUGGGCGCAAGCCUGAUGCAGCCAUGCCGCGUGUAUGAAGAAGGCCUUCGGGUUGUAAAGUACUUUCAGCGGGGAGGAAGGGAGUAAAGUUAAUACCUUUGCUCAUUGACGUUACCCGCAGAAGAAGCACCGGCUAACUCCGUGCCAGCAGCCGCGGUAAUACGGAGGGUGCAAGCGUUAAUCGGAAUUACUGGGCGUAAAGCGCACGCAGGCGGUUUGUUAAGUCAGAUGUGAAAUCCUCGGGCUCAACCUGGGAACUGCAUCUAAUACUGGCAAGCUUGAGUCUGGUAGAGGGGGGUAGAAUUCCAGGUGUAGCGGUGAGAUGCGUAGAGAUCUGGAGGAAUACCGGUGGCGAAGGCGGCCCCCUGGACGGAGACUGACGCUCAGGUGCGAAAGCGUGGGGAGCAAACAGG